GAUGAAGAACGUAGCGAAAUGCGAUAAGUAAUGUGAAUUGCAGAAUUCAGUGAAUCAUCGAAUCUUUGAACGCACAUUGCGCCCGCCAGUAUUCUGGCGGGCAUGCCUGUUCGAGCGUCAUUUCAACCAUCAAGCCCCCGGCUUGUGUUGGGGACCUGCGGCUGCCGCAGGCCCUGAAAAGCAGUGGCGGGCUCGAUGUCACACCGAGCGUAGUAGCAUACAUCUCGCUCUGGGCGUGCUGCGGGUUCCGGCCGUUAAACCACCUUCAUAACCCAAGGUUGACCUCGGAUCAGGUAGGAAGACCCGCUGAACUUAAGCAUAUCAAUAAGCGGAGGA
RNAcentral lists this unclassified non-coding RNA (336 nucleotides) under soil metagenome. RNAcentral describes it as "partial contains 5.8S ribosomal RNA, internal transcribed spacer 2, and large subunit ribosomal RNA". The stretch from base 1 to 120 matches the Rfam family "5.8S ribosomal RNA", at positions 35 to 154 of the family's 154-position model. The record is from RNAcentral.